RNAcentral lists this long non-coding RNA (486 nucleotides) under Heterocephalus glaber (naked mole-rat). Its description in RNAcentral is "lncRNA (ENSHGLG00100045011.1)". Lineage: Eukaryota; Metazoa; Chordata; Mammalia; Rodentia; Bathyergidae. The record is from RNAcentral.
CUGCUGCGGUCGGCGGGGCUGGGAGCGGGGCGCAGGAGCGAGCAGAGAGACUGAGGGCUCUCCCCACCCACUGGGGGUUCCCCGCGGGACGCGGCUCAUUCUGCAAGCCCGAGGCUUCCAGCCGCGCGGGAUCGUGCCUGCGGAGGGUCGGGCAACGACCUGCCCUAAAGAGCUGGAUGGACCCAGUAGCCGCCCAAACUGGGUACGAGCGCUCAGACGCAGAAAUGGGAACAAAGCUUCCAGAAGGGCAGAGCCCUAAGUGGCCGCGCCCCGCCCAGCCGCGGGGGCCACUGAUAGCGGUGGCCCCCUGCGCCUAUCCGCGGCCAGGCCCUGCCUUCUGGAAACGCCCCUGAGAGAUGAGCUCAUGCCAGAUGCGCGCGCUCCUUGGCGCCUCUGCCCAGGCUGAACGGGACCCAAAAGCAGAAUUAUAGAAUACCCAUAAACACAAGGACAAAUGGCACUGUGAUCCAAGUCUUUGUAUCAAGC